Long non-coding RNA from Uranotaenia lowii, 1975 nucleotides. RefSeq lists it as uncharacterized. NCBI's taxonomy places the organism in Eukaryota, Metazoa, Arthropoda, Insecta, Diptera, Culicidae. The record is from RefSeq and is a predicted model, not a curated record. The transcript has 5 exons.
GCUGGUUUUACGCAUAUACAAUUUAUCGUGUAGAGAUUUGUUUUCGAGCGUGCGCGCGCCAUGUUUGGCGAAAAAAUUUAUUUUCAGUUUACAAUUUUCUUGCGAGAACGCCUUGGCGAAAUCAAUAGCAGUUCAGCGGCUCCUGCUACCGUGGAUAAAGGUUCCGGUGAAGUGUGGAUGACCGGGAAGAUGCCAUCGAAAGGUCCAAUUGCUUGUCCCGAUCUGCCUGGUAGCUACCCCAGCGCAGCUCAUCAGCUAGUCAACGAAAAGAAUUGCGAAAACACCGGUGGAGCUGAUAUAAAGGGCUGUUCCGCGGGUUCGUCAACAGUGGACCUUCCAAGACGGCUCACUUACCUCCGGUAACAGGAGCUUGGAAAACGGGUAUGACCCCACGUCGUUCCACGGCUUACAACGUCAGACCGGCAUCACGCAUACCGCAGAAAACCAGCAUGAAUGAUUCGCUUCCAGCAACGAUGGAAAAAAUAAAAUCCUGGAAAUAAAUCGAGAAUGGAUGGAAACCUAGACGGAACUCAUUUGCGACUAUUUGGGAAUGAUGACGGAUUUUCCGCAAGAAUUUUCUGGCAAGCGCUGUUUGAAGGUCACAUGACCAUCAAUCAAUCAAUCAUCACCACAAACCAGCUGCAUUAACAGGUGGAACAGCAUUAUGAAAAAUCAACAACCCUGGGCAGUAACGGUAAUGACCGCGACGGACCAUAAGUUCCUUUAUAAAACAGUAUCAUCGGCAAUGAAUGCCGCUAGAGAUUUGACGAGAUAAUUUUUCUUGAAAAGAUUAGCCUGGAAAACUACCUUCAAUCUCAUCGCUAACCUCUGACAUGUAGCCUUAACGGGCGCUGUGAACAACCAAGUAGAGUAAGCUGCCUGGCCAGAUUCCAACCAUGGUCCGGUGUGGAAUAUCAAUAACGACCAGAGACAAUUAUGGUUAACAUUAAAUGGGAAACCCUCGAUCAAGUUCCGGGUAGCAACGCUACAGGUUUCAAUGCUUAUUCGUUCCCGAAGAAUCCCUUGGGUGAUCGAGCAGAGUACGGGCUAUUGAAAGCCCUAGCAACUCCUUCGAACAUCAAACUACGAGCAUGGUGUCUCGGCUUGCAAUGUCUGAUCCUUGCCUGCCAACAGCAUUUUGAAGCGGACUAUAUGGAUGCCAAUUCCACUCAAACGGAUCAUCACUCCCGAAAGAUGAGCCAUCUGAUAGUGAAUGACGACAAUUUUGAAAAAAGCUGUUACGCUUUUUUCAGGAGCUGAUCAGUCGAUCUCUUCUCUGAAUAGUAUCAGAUAUACUUGGCAAACUGUUACCUGUUACCUCCAUAUUGGUUCAUACAAAUCCUCAUUAGAAGCCGCUACUGUCUAUGACAAUUCAGCAUCAUUCAACGAUCUGACACAUCGAAUGAAAAUCAAACGAUUGAAAUAUCGGAACAAAAGGUUAUGGAACGAAGACCAAAGACUCCGUGCUUUGAAGAUACUGUGUUGCAAUAUAGUCCUACAAUAAUUCGACUGUUCCUAGGCUCAGUGCUCCAAUUAGUUUUUUCAGUCUAUCCAACAUUAAGUUCAAAAUGAGUUCAUUGUCCAGCACUGGCACGUAAUGUAAAAAUCUUAUAGAAAUCUAACCGAACGACCAGACGAUGUACUGAUAAAAGUACCCAUUGCUUUGCAAUAGUCUAACUCGAAAUCCUGCUUGGAGUUAUCUUUUUUAUUCAAAUUAAUCACACGUAGACUUGAGCAUCACUCUUCCCAUAGCAGUAGCAAUUGAAAUCACUCGGGACAGGGAUCUAGGUCCGAUUCCGAUAACACAACUUAUUUGUAUCGUCGGAAUGACUUUCAUUCGAUACAAAUACGGUUGGCUUCGGAUCUUAAUUUGAAAUCUGCAUUCUGGGUUUUAAUUCAAACCGGUGCUGAAUUUAAGUAACAACCAUUGUAAUUCAAACAAUUCGCAUUCAACAAUUAUAAAUUAAAAUAAAAU